GACGAACGCUGGCGGCGUGCUUAACACAUGCAAGUCGAGCGGAGCGGCGCACGGGUGAGUAACGCGUGAGUAACUGCCCCCAUCUUUGGGAUAACAGUUGGCAACGGCUGCUAAUACUGGAUAGUGGGGGAUGACUCGCGUCCUAUCAGCUUGUUGGUGGGGUAGUGGCGUACCAAGGCGACGCCGGGUAGCCGGCCUGAGAGGGCGACCUGCCACAUUGGGCUGAGAUACGGCCCAAACUCCUACGGGAGGCAGGAGUGGGGAGUAUUGCACAAUGGCGCAACCCCUGAUGCAGCAACGCCGCGUGCGGGAUGACGGCCUUCGGGUUGUAAACCGCUUUCAGCCAUGACGCGGUAGUGGCAGAAGAAGCACCGGCUAACUACGUGCCAGCAGCCGCGGUAAUAC
Molecule: ribosomal RNA, 405 nt
Filed under: uncultured bacterium
Lineage: Bacteria
Description: partial 16S ribosomal RNA
Rfam family: Bacterial small subunit ribosomal RNA
Source: RNAcentral